RNAcentral lists this ribosomal RNA (488 nucleotides) under uncultured bacterium. RNAcentral's name for it is "bacterial SSU rRNA". It matches the Rfam family "Bacterial small subunit ribosomal RNA", at positions 28 to 516 of the family's 1533-position model. The record is from RNAcentral.
GAUGAACGCUAGCGGGAGGCCUAACACAUGCAAGCCGAGCGGUAUUGUUUCUUCGGAAAUGAGAGAGCGGCGUACGGGUGCGGAACACGUGUGCAACCUGCCUUUAUCUGGGGGAUAGCCUUUCGAAAGGAAGAUUAAUACUCCAUAACAUAUUGAACGGCAUCGUUUGAUAUUGAAAGCUCCGGCGGAUAGAGAUGGGCACGCGCAAGAUUAGCUAGUUGGUGAGGUAACGGCUCACCAAGGCGAUGAUCUUUAGGGGGUGUGAGAGCAUGACCCCCCACACGGGUACUGAGACACGGACCCGACUCCUACGGGAGGCAGCAGUAAGGAAUAUUGGACAAUGGAGGGAACUCUGAUCCAGCCAUGCCGCGUGAAGGAUGAAGGCGCUCAGCGUUGUAAACUUCUUUUGGAUGGGAACAAUAACUUCUACGUGUAGGAGCUUGAGGGUACCAUCAGAAUAAGCACCGGCUAACUCCGUGCCAGCAGCC